UAUAUGUUUAGUGUUAUAGAGUAAGGUGUUCCUAUUGCAGAUUGUGCUAGGUGUACUGGUAGUUGCUUAUGAGUUUCUGCAUGUUGGUUAUUAAGCUAUUUAUAGCGAUUAUUCAAAAUAUUUAAAAUAUGUUGCUUGCUAGUAAGAUGGCUAGCUCAGGUGCAGGCAUCAUUUAAGUGUAUACAUCGUGGUGAGCCUAAUGUGUAGCGUUCUUAUUAGGUGAUGCCAAGUCCAGGUUUAACCGAUCCCCAUCAGCCUUAGGUUUGGUGCCCGAAGUAGUGGUCGGUGGGGGUCCCCCCAGUCGAUGUUCUUCCAGUUCCCAGCCGGAAUGUGGUCCGAGGGUAAGGUGGCAAAAGUCCCCUGACCUGUGGUGAGACUGCUGUGGGCUUGUUGUCUCUGGCUGGGGUUGUGGAGCUGGUGGUUGCUGGGGUCUGCGGUUGGGGCGAUUUGGUAAGGUAAGGCCCCCCCCUUGCUUCCCAUCUCUAUCAAGCAGAGGUGUUGGGCU
Molecule: non-coding RNA, 505 nt
Organism: Pelobates cultripes (western spadefoot toad)
Lineage: Eukaryota; Metazoa; Chordata; Amphibia; Anura; Pelobatidae
Source: the annotation of a GenBank genome assembly